Molecule: ribosomal RNA, 494 nt
Filed under: uncultured bacterium
Lineage: Bacteria
Description: partial 16S ribosomal RNA
Rfam family: Bacterial small subunit ribosomal RNA
Source: RNAcentral
GACGAACGCUGGCGGCGUGCUUAACACAUGCAAGUCGAACGGAAAGGCCUGCUUUCCCUUGUGGAUUGCGGGUACUCGAGUGGCGAACGGGUGAGUAACACGUGAGUGAUCUGCCCCCAACUUGGGUAUAAGCCUGGGAAACUGGGUCUAAUUCCCGAUAGGACUGCAGGGUGGUGCCUGUGGUGGAAAACGAUUUUCUAGUGGUUGGGGAUGAGUUCGCGGCCUAUCAGCGUGUUGGUGGGGUAAUGGCCUACCAAGGCGGCGACGGGUAGCCGGCCUGAGAGGGUGCACGGCGGCAUUGGGACUGAGAUACGGCCCAGACUCCUACGGGAGGCAGCAGUGGGGAAUAUUGCACCAUGGGCGGAAGCCUGAUGCAGCGACGCCGCGUGGGGGAUGACGGCCUUCGGGUUGUAAACUCCUUUCGACCGCGAGGAAGCCACCUGGUUGGAAGGGUGGUGACGGUAGUGGUAGAAGAAGCACCGGCUAACUACGUG